CCGAGUUUACAACUCCCAAACCCAAUGUGAACGUUACCAAACUGUUGCCUCGGCGGGAUCUUCUGCCCCGGGUGCGUCGCAGCCCCGGACCAAGGCGCCCGCCGGAGGACCAACUCCAAAACUCUUAUUGUAUACCCCCUCGCGGGUUUUUUACUAUCUGAGCCAUCUCGGCGCCUCUCGUAGGCGUUUCGAAAAUGAAUCA
This 202-nucleotide unclassified non-coding RNA is filed under the name soil metagenome. RNAcentral describes it as "partial internal transcribed spacer 1". The record is from RNAcentral.